CUCAAUCCUCUAUAUAACACCUCUCCCCUCUAAAACUCCCAACAAAUACACAGACAUAAAGGUCUUCCUCUCUCUCUCUCGGUUAUACACAGGGAACAAACACAGUCAUAUAUUUGUCUCCUGCCCUUCAAUUCCCACACCACACACACACAAAACAAAAGGAAAAGAAACACAGAGAAGCCAAACAACCCCUCUCCCUCUCCGGUGCUUUUUCCGGCGGCAAACUGGCUCCGAUCGGAGCUCCGGCGACCACACCCACACCGGUAAACCCCCCCCCCCUUGUUACAGAACUGAAACAGACCACCACCACCACUAAUCGGUGGUGGUGCGGUGGUGUGGCAGUCGAGACGAAAGAGAGAGGAACGGUGGCGCGUGGUGGCGCGUGGCGGCAACGAGCAGAAAGAAAGAGAGAGAACGCAGCUAGAGAGAGAAACUCGGGAGAGAGAUGAACGGAGGCGGAGCAGCGCCGCCGCUCACGGCGGCGGCAGUAGCGGCAGGGCGGUGGUUCGAAUCUCGGUCCAAAGAGUUUCCGGCUCAGUGAAGUCUCGGCUCAGUUGGUUCAGUUGCGGGUCAGUUUUGGUCGCACGAGUACGGGUCAACAGGAGGCUCACAUAGAUCGGUUUCAGGUCACUUCAAGUUGCGGAUUCAGGAUCUUGUUGUUGGUUCGGGUCUUGUUCGGCACGAGUCACGGCUCGGUUUUAGGUUCGGUUCGCGCAUCGGGUUCUCGGUUCGGUCAAAACAGUCAACAAAAGUCAACACGGUUGACUCGGUCAACUCAACGAGUCGACUCGGUCAAUAUCCCGACGCGAAGACUCGGAAUAUUGUAGAAUGCACGCUAGCAAGUCAAGUCUUGGAAACGACAUCAUCGAAGUCGUAAUUAGCUAGCUUUACACAGGAAUAUUCAGGCGAGUUCAUAACCCCCACUUUUUACUGUUUUACAUUCUUUUUGUAAAUGUUUUCGGGGUGGAAAGUCAUGCACGAUUUUCAGAAACAUACAAAGUUUUGAACAAAUGCAAAACUCGUAUUUCUAAAUCAUAUCACGAAUGGAUUUCGAGGAACUCAAAUGAUUUACGAAAGGUUUAUACUAAACAUACCGGUUUUUACAAAACAAAUGCUUAUUCUCGAAAUAUGAACGAUUUUUUUUUUAUAAUUAAGGAGCCAGUCAGGGUGGCUGGGAAGGUUCAGUCAGGGUGGCUGGGAAGGUUCAGUCAGGGUGGCUGGGAAGGUUCAGUCAGGGUGGCUGGGAAGGUUCAGUCAGGGUGGCUGGGAAGAUUCAGCCAGGGUGGCUGGGGUGGAAUAUAUGUUAUAGUAAUUACGAAUAAUUUUUACAUGGUAUGGUUAGCGUAAGGGGGUUUACUAUUUAGAUCAUGUGAAUGGGUAGGCGGAAACUUGAGGUCAUUAAUCCUCAGGGUGGGGACCGAGGGGCAGGAGCGGUAGAUCUAUUUGGGUGUAGCGAGCCCAGUCUCAGGUCCAGCAUAACGGACCUUGGGAUGACUUUGUUCCCGACGCAUAAAUUUGCUAGGUUUGAGCCUUCCUACUUGCAUUUCACACAUAUCAAUGGCCUUGCAAACCAUUGGUGAUCUCUUUUUCCUUAUCUGCUACAUACCAGGGAUUUUAUACUUACGGAAACUUUUAGUUCAUACAAUUUAGCUACCGUGUUUUAUACAAAUCCAAAGAAUUAUGGGGGUAUAGAGUCAAAGUCAGGGUGGGCAUUGACGGUUAUGCGAAUAUUACAAAUACAAGGCUUUACAAAAACAUGGUUUUAUGAACAUGACGUGUUACAAACACAACGUUUCCAUAUAACUUGGCAAGAAAAUGAUUUUUAAAUUCAUUUUCUCAAUACUAAUUCGAAAACCGGUUAUUACCAAAGAUUUAUUUCAAACCUUUCACAACUCAAAAGAUUUAUUUCAGAUCUUUUACAAACAAACUAUGAACUCGCUCAACCUUAUGUUGACUUUUUCGCAUGUUCUUUCUCAGGUUACUUUUCAAACAAUGGAACGGUUGGAAUAGGAAGACCAUGAAGAGUCGAGUACUUAGUGGCGUUCAUUUUCUAAAAGACUUAGAUUGUUUGCUUCCGCUGUGCAAUGAAGAUACCAGUCCAGUCACGCCAAUGCUCUGAUAAUUUCGGGGUGUGACAGAUUGGUAUCAGAGCUAUAGGUUACAGCGAAUUAGGUUUCUGUUGUGAUACCUAGGCUCUAACCUCACCUUUCCCCCUGGGGACUUAGAUCAUUGAGACGUUGAACACAUACAGAACGCCUAGUACUCGAAUAUGGUCUCCAACCGUUGCCGAAAAACAAGCAGUCAAAAUAUUGUUUUCAAACAUACGCUAAAAUAGUGUUUUAUACACGAUACACAAAACAGGCGCAUACAGUACACAACACUCUAAGAGUUUAGGAAACAUGCAUUUAAAACCUUCGGAAAAGGGAAUUCAGUCUGAGAGGCUGGAAGGAUAGUCUAGUGGGACUAGGAGAUUCAGUCUGAGAGGCUGGAGGGAUAGU
Molecule: long non-coding RNA, 2498 nt
Organism: Helianthus annuus (common sunflower)
Lineage: Eukaryota; Viridiplantae; Streptophyta; Magnoliopsida; Asterales; Asteraceae
Exons: 3
Source: RefSeq, a predicted model, not a curated record